UCGGAGACGAUGCUCGUGCGGGCGGUGAUGCGACACGUGUAUCCGAAAGACUCUCGGCAACGGAUAUCUCGGCUCUUGCAUCGAUGAAGAACGUAGCGAAAUGCGAUACUUGGUGUGAAUUGCAGAAUCCCGUGAACCAUCGAGUCUUUGAACGCAAGUUGCGCCCGAAGCCAUUAGGCCGAGGGCACGCCUGCCUGGGUGUCGCCCAUCGUUGCCCCCAUUGCCUUGCCCUCGUGCUAGGCACCGAGCUGGGCGAACGCUGGCUUCCCGCGAGCAACGCCUCACGGUUGGUUGAAAACUGAGUCCGUGGUGGAGGGCGCGCCGUGACGGAUGGUGGUUGAG
Molecule: ribosomal RNA, 342 nt
Filed under: Crotalaria massaiensis
Lineage: Eukaryota; Viridiplantae; Streptophyta; Magnoliopsida; Fabales; Fabaceae
Description: 5.8S ribosomal RNA
Rfam family: 5.8S ribosomal RNA (bases 49-204)
Source: RNAcentral